CUUAUUAAUAAUUUAGCCACUAAAAAUGUUCGUCUGCAAUCAAAUGUCCAGCAAAAGAUCCAUUUCAAUAUAAUACUAUGAAGGAAACCAAACAGCACGGCGAUCCAGUGGAUAAACAUGAUUCAGUUGCGACUGCUAUAAACGAGUGUUUUAGGUGGGUUUGUAUUUGCUUAAACGUGUUAUUCGAUUUGUGAUUUUAGAAGGGCAUCGAGAAAUAUGGCUACAAAAUACUUGUGGAUUACCGGAAUAGCUGCAGCUGUUCUCAUACUUGCCUUGUGCGUCCACACAGACGAAGAAGAAAACAACGACCUCGACAGCCUUAUUGCAAACCUAGUGAAUGUGUUAAAAGAACGUACGUUUGAAGCGCAGGACACAAUGAAGGAAGAAGCAGGACGCGCGGACCUAAAUGAUCACAAACCAGGCUCAAAGCGAGGUCGUUCUUGGUGUCGACAAGUAGGAAGACGUACGUGUGGGUGUGGGGGUAGUUGCGGCCCAAAAGUGAACUCGGAAUUAUCAACAAGCUAAACAAACGUGUAUUGAAUUUGAAUACAGAUAUGCGUUUAUAGUGUUUAUCAUUUGACUCGAUGGAACUGCUUAAAAAACGAUAAAGAAAGAAAUAUCUACGCAACCAUAUUUAAAUGUUAUAGUUUGUUCUGUUCAUGGCUCUAGUUUGGUAUCGAGUCUUAUUAUCCUUAAUCACUUUUAAUCGUCCUGUUGCAAUGCUGUUAAGUUCCAGCUCCUAUAUUGAUGUAAGAAACGGAUUGUAUCCUUUUAAGUGUAUAUUUUAGUUUUAAAAUGUAUUUACGGUUGAACAAGAGAAAAAUGUUCACAGUUCUUAAAGUGCAUACUAUUUUAUCAUAUUUAUUGUAUCCUCAUACUGUGUAUUGUGUGAAGUCGCAUCGAUGAUUUAUAUAAAUAGUUGAUAGUCACGUUUUAUAUAAAGAGUAACCCAUCGAUUUGCAGUUGGAAUGAAACAGGCCGUGAAUAAUCUUCAGGAUAUAAUGUGAAGAAAAAGCGGAAGCGGAUCGUGCUAAAAAAAUUGAUACCCCAAAAUAAAAUAAUAUUUUAUGUCCGACGUAGUUCGCUUAAACGUCAGUCUGCACAGAGGAUGCGAUUUCUAGAAAAUGUAAAGUUUGAAUAAUGGUCAUACAUAUACACUUAUAAAAUAUAAAUAAGUACACAUGUAUCAUGCACUACCACUUUGUUGUAGAGUUCAUUAAAAACAUUUUUUUAAAUUGUGUAUAAAGGGACCUUUCCACGUUUUGGUUUAUUGACAAAAUAACACAAAAUGUUUCAGAUUCACAAA
Dreissena polymorpha is the source of this 1306-nucleotide long non-coding RNA. RefSeq lists it as uncharacterized. The record is from RefSeq and is a predicted model, not a curated record. The transcript is spliced from 3 exons. Lineage: Eukaryota; Metazoa; Mollusca; Bivalvia; Myida; Dreissenidae.